GCGGACGUGGUGAAAUUGGUAGACACGCUAGAUUUAGGUUCUAGUGAGAGCAUCUCAUGAGAGUUCGAGUCUCUCCGUCCGCA
RNAcentral lists this transfer RNA (83 nucleotides) under Gredgaria maugeana. RNAcentral's name for it is "tRNA-Leu". It matches the Rfam family "tRNA". From Rfam's summary of the family: Transfer RNA (tRNA) molecules are approximately 80 nucleotides in length. Their secondary structure includes four short double-helical elements and three loops (D, anti-codon, and T loops). The record is from RNAcentral. Lineage: Eukaryota; Rhodophyta; Florideophyceae; Ceramiales; Rhodomelaceae.